GUCUCUGUAGCUCAGUAGGAUAGAGCAACUGCCUCCUAAGCAGUAGGUCGGAGGUUCGAAUCCUCUCAGGGACG
This 74-nucleotide transfer RNA is filed under the name Tetragenococcus koreensis. Its description in RNAcentral is "tRNA-Arg". It matches the Rfam family "tRNA". Rfam says of the family: Transfer RNA (tRNA) molecules are approximately 80 nucleotides in length. Their secondary structure includes four short double-helical elements and three loops (D, anti-codon, and T loops). Lineage: Bacteria; Bacillati; Bacillota; Bacilli; Lactobacillales; Enterococcaceae. The record is from RNAcentral. RNAcentral also lists the same sequence under 1 other name.